This 511-nucleotide ribosomal RNA is filed under the name uncultured bacterium. RNAcentral describes it as "bacterial SSU rRNA". It matches the Rfam family "Bacterial small subunit ribosomal RNA", at positions 998 to 1509 of the family's 1533-position model. The record is from RNAcentral.
AACGAGAGAUCGAUCCCUUCAGUUCGGCUGGACCGGAGACAGGUGCUGCAUGGCUGUCGUCAGCUCGUGUCGUGAGAUGUUGGGUUAAGUCCCGCAACGAGCGCAACCUCGCCCUUAGUUGCCAUCAUUCAGUUGGGCACUCUAAGGGGACUGCCGGUGAUAAGCCGCGAGGAAGGUGGGGAUGACGUCAAGUCCUCAUGGCCCUUACGGGCUGGGCUACACACGUGCUACAAUGGCGGUGACAAUGGGACGCAAUGGGGCGACCCUGCGCAAAUCUCAAAAAGCCGUCUCAGUUCGGAUUGUGCUCUGCAACUCGAGCACAUGAAGUCGGAAUCGCUAGUAAUCGCAGAUCAGCACGCUGCGGUGAAUACGUUCCCGGGCCUUGUACACACCGCCCGUCACACCAUGGGAGUUGGCUUUACCUGAAGGCGGUGCGCCAACCGCAAGGGGGCAGCCGACCACGGUAGGGUCAGCGACUGGGGUGAAGUCGUAACAAGGUAAGCGUAGUGCU